GUGUCAGCAGCCGCGGUAAUACGGAGGGUGCAAGCGUUAUCCGGAUUCACUGGGUUUAAAGGGAGCGUAGGUGGGCUGAUAAGUCAGUGGUGAAAUCUCCGGGCUUAACCCGGAAAUUGCCGUUGAUACUAUUAGUCUUGAAUAUUGUGGAGGUUAGCGGAAUAUGUCAUGUAGCGGUGAAAUGCUUAGAUAUGACAUAGAACACCAAUUGCGAAGGCAGCUGGCUACACAUAUAUUGACACUGAGGCUCGAAAGCGUGGGGAUCAAACAGGAUUAGAUACCCUGGUAGUCCACGCCCUAAACUAUGGAUACUCGACAUACGCGAUACACUGUGUGUGUCUGAGCGAAAGCAUUAAGUAUCCCACCUGGGAAGUACGAUCGCAAGAUUGAAACUCAAAUAAAUUGACGG
RNAcentral lists this ribosomal RNA (409 nucleotides) under uncultured bacterium. RNAcentral describes it as "bacterial SSU rRNA". It matches the Rfam family "Bacterial small subunit ribosomal RNA", at positions 505 to 916 of the family's 1533-position model. The record is from RNAcentral.